This 483-nucleotide ribosomal RNA is filed under the name uncultured bacterium. RNAcentral's name for it is "partial 16S ribosomal RNA". It matches the Rfam family "Bacterial small subunit ribosomal RNA", at positions 28 to 523 of the family's 1533-position model. The record is from RNAcentral.
GACGAACGCUGGCGGCGUGCUCAACACAUGCAAGUCGAACGAUGAAGCUGGAGCUUGCUCCGGUGGAUUAGUGGCGAACGGGUGAGUAACACGUGAGCAAUCUGCCCUUGACUCUGGGAUAACUGCGGGAAACUGUAGCUAAUACCGGAUACGAGAUUUGGAGGCAUCUCCGGAUCCGGAAAGAAUUUCGGUCAAGGAUGAGCUCGCGGCCUAUAAGCUUGUUGGUGAGGUAAUGGCUCACCAAGGCGACGACGGGGAGCCGGCCUGAGAGGGUGACCGGCCACACUGGGACUGGGACACGGCCCAGACUCCUACGGGAGGCAGCAGUGGGGAAUAUUGCACAAUGGGCGAAAGCCUGAUGCAGCAACGCCGCGUGAGGGAUGAAGGCCUUCGGGUUGUAAACCUCUUUUAGUAGGGAAGAAGCGAAAGUGACGGUACCUACAGAAAAAGCACCGGCUAACUACGUGCCAGCCGCCGCAGUAA